This is a non-coding RNA of Equus caballus (horse), 3561 nucleotides long. Lineage: Eukaryota; Metazoa; Chordata; Mammalia; Perissodactyla; Equidae. The record is from RefSeq and is a predicted model, not a curated record.
GCUGCCCCGGCGCCCCGCCUCCUCCAAUCAGCGGCCGGGCUGGCGGGCAGGGGUUAACCAGGGGACCCCGCGCGGCGAAGGAGGCCGCCGCCUCGCCGGGCGGCUGGGCGCGGGCGGACGGGCGGCGCCGGCGGACGGGCCGCGCCGCGGAGGGAGGUCGGGCCGCCCCGAGACCUGCCCGGCCCGGAGCCCCGGAGCCCCGGAGCCCCCGAGCCCCGCUGCCGUCUUUGUAUGAGCGGCCCCGGCCGAGGCGGUCGGACCGGCAUCCUGGGCCGCGGACCGGCGCUGGAGGGGCCUCGCCGCCCGGGCCAGGCGCUUCCCGCGUGCGCCUGGCCGGACCCCGCGCCCGCCUAACCCCUCGGCUUCACGAGUUCGGGUGAGAAGCGAGGCUGCUCUGGGGAUCCAGGGACGGAUUUCGGAGGAAGAAAGCCCGUGAGCCGGCGGACCCGCCCGAACUUCCCCGGAGACGCCCGGUCAGUGAGUUCGCUGUGCCCACCCGUGGUGGCUGUCCCGCGACCGUCCCGCUCCCCUGACCCACACCUGCCGCCCUGGAAAGCGGACAGCAUUUUCCCUCCACAUACCUGGUUGGCAGGGCGUCUCCAGGGACAAAAGGUGCCCUGGGAUGAAGCCGAGCCCCCGCCCCCACCAGGAUGCUGCCCUCCGGAAGGGGGGCGCUGCCCCAAAGGGACUCUCCCCAGGGCACCCAGGGGGAGGUUCCAUUUCAACCUCUGAUUAAAAACACGGCCCUCUUGGGUACUUAGCGGAGUCUGAGGAUAAGUGCUGGAAGGAAAAAAAAAGACUGCCCCUCACAGGAUGUCUGCUGAGGAAUGAGAAAUAGGAAAAGUUUCUGUGCUGGCCCUCUGCUGCCUACAGCAUAAAGCUCCAGCUUCUCAGCAUGGCAGUUGAGGCCUCCGCCAUCUGUCUGGGAGGAACUGACUGAAGACAUUUCCAAUUCUCACGAGAUAGUCUGAGCACUGCCCCACCCACUGUCCUUCCAGAGCAGCCGUGAUCCUGUCCAUUUGCCGCUCUUCCCCAUAAAUGGGUCUUUGUGAAAUUCUACCCCUUUGGCCAGACACCAUCACUCCAUCCCCAUCCACCUGGAAAAACCCUUCAUCCUUCAAGAGACUGCCCCUGCCUGGCGGUGACUGCUCUGUGACAGCCUCCCCGCGGAGUCCUGCUCCUCUGUGCUCCAGGAAAAUGCAACUCACAGCAAGAAUAGAUAAAGAGGCAUCAUUUCCAUAAGAAUAAAUGUAAAGAGGCUGGAUUUCACCCCUCACUCCCGAUCCUUCUCCCAAACAGUUAGACUGCCCCACGUGCCUACAGAAACGUUAAAGACUUUACACAACAAUUCCUCCCACAAAUCUGCCUCCAGAGACAGUGUGAGCGGGGCAGGGGGGCAGGCAGAGUGAGGGCUUCACCCAUGCCCACCACCAUCAACUCUGCCCUCCUUCGGGGAGGCCGAGGCCCACAGGGCCCCGGCCACACGGUGACUGUCAUGGGUGCUGGGCACUUCUGCUUUCACGGGCCCUUUUCUCCAAUCAAAAAGAAUUUUUUUUUUCUACAGUCUUGUUGGUAUAAAAGCAAACAUAAUGUAGGCUGCCUUCAUUAUCAUUUUAUUCAUUACUAUCAUAUUCAUUUUUUUCUUCUGGUUUUAAAAUAAAAUUAAAACAUUUUCAAGGGCCCCUGAAAGCAUCGUGGGCCCAAGACACUGCGCCCUGAGGAGACCGCGCCCUGGGCCUGAUGGAGCCGCUGACCCUGCCUGAGGGAAAAAGCCUGAAAUUCCUUAUGAGCUUUCACUGCUCUUGAGACUUUAGAGAAGAAAUGCAGAUUAUGCUUUCUGCUACAAUCUUAUCAAGGUUUAUUCCGUGCAGGGGAAAGUUACCAUGGGACAUACCAUCAAUAUAACUGCCUGUUCUGAAGUGUGUCUUACACAAAUGAGUCAUAAAUACAGAACAGCCCACUGAGGUUGGCAUUCAAUGCUGUUCUCUGCAAGGAGUUAGGAUUGAGUUAUGGGGGCCACUAGGGCUCCUGGGUUGUUAUUAUUGUUUAUACUCCAUUUACAGUUGAGGAAAUUGAGACUCAGAGGAAGCCAGUAACUGGGCCAAGACGAAGCAAAGAACAAACGAAACAAUGGCUCCAGGAUUUCAGCCCCAGUCUGGGCUCUUUUGAGCUGCUUUGGACAGAUUGAGUUUGAGGUGCCCGAGGGCCUUCUCGGGAGAAAGACAUCCAGGAGGCAUUUAGAUAAACUAGUUCAAGGCUCAAGUGAGAUCCUUAGCUCGUGACACAGAUUUGGGAAUUAUCCGAGUGCUGGUGGCGUUUAAAGAUUCCAAGUGGACCAGCUCUGUUGCAGUCUCUCUGCAGAAUGGGGCCCAGGCCAACAGCGUCCUAGAAUGGUUUCUGUGCCUUUAAGCUAUCCUGAGUGGCCUCCUCCCUCGGGGAGCCGGGCUGCCCUGCUCCCUCCUUGCUCUCACUCCCUACUUGUUCCUGGGUACCCAGGCUUCUGGGAAACGCUUAGGGGGCGCCUUCUCCCCACAGGCCCUGGGCUACCAGGCGUGGGCUUCCAUUUCCAGCCCUUCUGUUUCUCGCUGGAUUAGAUGACGGAACUCGACCUUCCUCUCUUUGAUGCUUGAUGCUCGCUAUGGACCCAGCACCUGAGUGACAUUCUAUGUACUCACUCACCCAGUAAGUAUUUACUGAGCACCUACUAUGUGCCAGAAACCAUUGUAGGUACUAAGGAGACAACUGUGAGCAAAGUAGACAAAGUCUCUUGACCCCAAGGAGCUUAUAGUCUGGAGGCAGGAGGCAGAGAAUAAACAAAUCAGAAUAGUAGCCAUGGGUCACAAGGAACAUAAAGCCACAUAAUUUGAUGUGACUGAGGGCAUGGGAGGGCUGGGGGGGAGGCUUGGUGGUGACACUGGUCAAGGCCGUCGGCAGGGAAGGACUCUCAGAGGGGGACAUCUGAGCUGAGACCUGAAUGAGGAGGAGGCACCAGCCGUGAGAAGAUGGGGACAGGCAGGACCUUUCUGGCAGGAGCAGCAAGUCCUGAGGGGUCUUGGCAUGUCUGGAAGGCCCACCUGAUGGGACAGCGGAGGGGGGCUUGGAAAGGCAGGAAGAGCCGCAGGCGGGCAGGGGUCCCGCCCUGUUAGACAAGGCCCAGCCCAGGGUGGCCAAGGGUCAGCUGAGAGAUGGGAAGGGAAAAAUAGAAGUUGAGAGAAGACGACUCUUUCCUACGGAAGGAGAAAGGGAGAAAGAAGGAGCAAGAAAGAAGCAGGAGUGGGACUGGCAGCACAGCUUGCAGGGCCCCUUGUGAAAAAACCAUCAAGAAUUUUAAGAUGGUGACAGCAGGGCCUUGAACCUAGCGUGGCUCUUCUGAGCGCCUGGUGCUGUGUGACUGAAGAGGACACAGCCCACGACGCAGUCCCAGGGCCCGGUGUAGACCCUCGGGAAGAUGAAGUGGCAGAAUCCAGGUCCCCCUUUCACCCCAGACUGAGCCAAACCUCACAGGCAGCACCGCCCACACAGGGUGAAACUGAGGAUUAAAGUUUUCUAUUUUCAGGAAAA